RNAcentral lists this unclassified non-coding RNA (296 nucleotides) under Athalia rosae (coleseed sawfly). RNAcentral describes it as "misc RNA ENSAEAG00005003621.1". The record is from RNAcentral. Lineage: Eukaryota; Metazoa; Arthropoda; Insecta; Hymenoptera; Athaliidae.
UUUUCUGUUCUAUAUUUCAGGCAAUCAGUCGAGUUCGGAUUUGCGGUGGGAUCGAAUUAUUGUACGUUAUUUUCAUAUAGUAUCACUGAUAAUCUGUAAAGAAUUAUUGCUGCGUCUCUGCUGAGAUAAAACAACUGAAGAGUCAGUCAACGCCCUAGAAAUUCAAGCUACAACGCGCAACUUUAUCCUACGAUAUCCUCGGUGUAAGCAACGCAAUUCUAACGAACGUUAAACCAACAAAAAAGAACGAAAUAAAAUGAUACUCUAAGGCAACUUUCUUUUGAGCAACAUACGAG